AAGACUAUACUUUCAGGGAUCAUUUCUACAGUUUGUUACUAGAGAAGUUUCUCUGAAUGUGUAGAGUACCUGAAACCACGAGGAGGGGGAACAGUGUCCCUUGGUGAGCAAGAAGCUGACUCUGGGUGUUCUUUUUGCAACUGUGCUUUGUCAUUGAUGAUUGUUCUUGUCCUUCAGAGAAGCUAGAGGGAAGGGAUGCCAUCUGAGU
Molecule: small nucleolar RNA, 208 nt
Filed under: Zalophus californianus (California sea lion)
Lineage: Eukaryota; Metazoa; Chordata; Mammalia; Carnivora; Otariidae
Description: Small nucleolar RNA U3 (ENSZCAG00015022576.1)
Rfam family: Small nucleolar RNA U3
About the family: Small nucleolar RNAs (snoRNAs) are involved in the processing and modification of rRNA in the nucleolus.
Source: RNAcentral